GGUUCCUUCCACGUGGGCCACGGGGCAGAAAAUUGCUUCACCGGCAUUCCGAACUCCGAUGCUCCGCCGCGGAAGUUUUUAUUUAUAUUCAUAUUCCGUCGAAUCCUGAGCUUUUUGUCGCAGAGAAUAACAAUCAGUAAUCGAACCACGCAAUCGCAGAUAACGUAACAGGGAAAAGAGACGAAGUUGAGGAAAUCUGUUUCGAUCGAUCGAUAGGGGAGCGGAUAUGACUGUCAAAAUUGUGGACGCGACGGUUGCGAGCUUCAACGAGGUGUUCGAGAAGUUCAAAUCAGAGUCGCCGAAAUUCAAAUCCAACCUCAUCCUCUU
This 327-nucleotide long non-coding RNA is filed under the name Linum usitatissimum (flax). RNAcentral describes it as "long non-coding RNA (LUSI_LNC001081)". Lineage: Eukaryota; Viridiplantae; Streptophyta; Magnoliopsida; Malpighiales; Linaceae. The record is from RNAcentral.